RNAcentral lists this long non-coding RNA (303 nucleotides) under Amborella trichopoda. RNAcentral describes it as "long non-coding RNA (ATRI_LNC004382)". The record is from RNAcentral. Lineage: Eukaryota; Viridiplantae; Streptophyta; Magnoliopsida; Amborellales; Amborellaceae.
GACAAAGUAAAAUACACAAUACUAAUGAGAGUCAUAGAUUUUGGGAUGUGAGUCAACCUCUCUAACCGUCUAUGAUACCCUAACAACCAUCCUCUCCUUGCCUACAUCACCAUUGAUCUUCCUUCUUUUCCAUCUGGUAAUCACUACUCGUCAGAACGAAAUAGAGAUGCAAUAGCUACAUUCCCAUAAAGAAAUGCAAGGGUUUCUCUAAAAGGGGAUGCUUUCUAAAAUCUCCUUGGUAAUUGCUUGAGGAGGCACUGUUGCAUUGUUUCUCUCCCUUAAAAGCUCACUUCUCUCUUUUUU